Molecule: ribosomal RNA, 253 nt
Filed under: uncultured bacterium
Lineage: Bacteria
Description: partial 16S ribosomal RNA
Rfam family: Bacterial small subunit ribosomal RNA
Source: RNAcentral
UACGGAGGGUGCAAGCGUUAUCCGGAUUUACUGGGUUUAAAGGGUGUGUAGGCGGGCUUUUAAGUCAGUGGUGAAAUCUCCGGGCUCAACCUGGAAACUGCCAUUGAUACUAUUAGUCUUGAAUUUUGUUGAGGUAGGCGGAAUAAGUCAUGUAGCGGUGAAAUGCAUAGAUAUGACUUAGAACACCGAUUGCGAAGGCAGCCCACUACGCAACUAUUGACGCUGAGGCACGAAAGCGUGGGGAUCAAACAGG